UUUAGUUAAGUCUGACUCAUUUCUAGGGGAAAAACUCUAAAUCUUUCCUUCACUUUGAGCAAUGUUCUGAUUAGAUAAAUGAAGUGGAGAAGAGUAGUUUUAUUCUGAAGGUAAUUGAAUUUAGACUAUACUAUGUGACAGAAUUUUAAAAAAUUAUACAAAUGUUUUAUUUAGAAAUUGGGAUUUACUUAAAAUAAUUUUGGAAUAAUGCUCCAAAACUUACUCAGAUUUAUGCACUAUACCUAUUGCCACUGGCCACUUCAAAGUGAUUUUUUGUUUCCUCUAAUAGUUUGCCGCAGACUUUAGUUUGGAGAUGCCCCUGUAAUUUUUAUGGGGGAGGUAAGUGAGUCACAAACAUUCUUUUGAAGGGAAAUCUAGUCAGUUGCUUGAAAUAGCACACACAGCCCAAAUAAAACAAGGACUGACUAGGUUGUAAAGCAAUGACCUUAUGAUUUAAA
RNAcentral lists this long non-coding RNA (458 nucleotides) under Bos taurus (domestic cattle). Its description in RNAcentral is "long non-coding RNA NONBTAT001449". Lineage: Eukaryota; Metazoa; Chordata; Mammalia; Artiodactyla; Bovidae. The record is from RNAcentral.